AAAAAAGAAACCACUAUCACAAUACCUGACAUUGUGCCUUAUAUAAUUAAGAAAUAUAUUGGCUGGUUGUCAAACUAACCCUCUUUCCUGCUAGGCAGGAGCUCUAGCAAUGCAGUCUAUGUGGAAUUCUUUAGACAAAGCUGGCCUGUGGGUGAGUGAAAUUCUUAAUUUGAGCCUUAAUUAGAACUACUCUAACUAGAUGAACUAACCAUCCCCAAUUUAAUUUUUUUAAGUCUGUAGAAAAAAAUGGUAGCUUUAAAUGCUAAUUUCAAGUAAAGUAUGGUACUGUUCUCUUUAUCAGAACUGACAUCUGGCUUCUCUUUUCCAGAAGGGUGCCCUAAAGUCCUGAAAGUAAAAUCAGGAUCAGGAUCUCAUUAUGAAACUUCUUCACUGAUGAUUUGCUACCAGGCUAUUAUGAGGCCCACUUAAUGUGAGAGGAAACUGAGGCACCAGUGAAGAAGUUAAGCAACUUGCCUCAGAUCACAGGGCUGGGAAGCGGGACAGCUGGGAUGCCAGAGCGCCUGUGUACUUCAUCAGUAUUCCAUACUGUUCUCCAAAAAGCAGAGCUAACAUGAUUGCUUAAAAUGGCAGGACUCCCAUAAGAGGAAUUUUCGGGCUUCCCUGGUGGCGCAGUGGUUGAAAGUCUGCCUGCUAAUGCAGGGGACACGGGUUCGAGCCCUGGUCUGGGAAGAUCCCACAUGCUGCGGAGCAGCUGGGCCCGUGAGCCACAACUACUGAGCCUGCGCGUCUGGAGCCUGUGCUCCGCAACAAGAGAGGCCACGAUAGUGAGAGGCCCGCGCACCGUGA
Balaenoptera ricei (Rice's whale) is the source of this 807-nucleotide long non-coding RNA. RefSeq lists it as uncharacterized. The transcript is spliced from 3 exons. The record is from RefSeq and is a predicted model, not a curated record. NCBI's taxonomy places the organism in Eukaryota, Metazoa, Chordata, Mammalia, Artiodactyla, Balaenopteridae.